Molecule: ribosomal RNA, 731 nt
Filed under: uncultured bacterium
Lineage: Bacteria
Description: bacterial SSU rRNA
Rfam family: Bacterial small subunit ribosomal RNA
Source: RNAcentral
AACAGGAUUAGAUACCCUGGUAGUCCACGCUGUAAACGAUGUCGACUUGGAGGUUGUGCCCUUGAGGCGUGGCUUCCGGAGCUAACGCGUUAAGUCGACCGCCUGGGGAGUACGGCCGCAAGGUUAAAACUCAAAUGAAUUGACGGGGGCCCGCACAAGCGGUGGAGCAUGUGGUUUAAUUCGAUGCAACGCGAAGAACCUUACCUACUCUUGACAUCCAGAGAAUUUGCUAGAGAUAGCUUAGUGCCUUCGGGAACUCUGAGACAGGUGCUGCAUGGCUGUCGUCAGCUCGUGUUGUGAAAUGUUGGGUUAAGUCCCGCAACGAGCGCAACCCUUAUCCUUUGUUGCCAGCACGUAAUGGUGGGAACUCAAAGGAGACUGCCGGUGAUAAACCGGAGGAAGGUGGGGAUGACGUCAAGUCAUCAUGGCCCUUACGAGUAGGGCUACACACGUGCUACAAUGGCAUAUACAAAGAGAAGCGAACUCGCGAGAGCAAGCGGACCUCAUAAAGUAUGUCGUAGUCCGGAUUGGAGUCUGCAACUCGACUCCAUGAAGUCGGAAUCGCUAGUAAUCGUAGAUCAGAAUGCUACGGUGAAUACGUUCCCGGGCCUUGUACACACCGCCCGUCACACCAUGGGAGUGGGUUGCAAAAGAAGUAGGUAGCUUAACCUUCGGGAGGGCGCUUACCACAUUGUGAUUCAUGACUGGGGUGAAGUCGUAACAAGGUAACC